CAAUAGCGUAUAUUAAAGUUGUUGCGGUUAAAAAGCUCGUAGUUGGAUUUCUGCUGAGAACGACCGGUCCGCCCUUUGGGUGUGUAUCUGGCUCUUUCUUGGCAUCUUCUUGGUGAACGUUGCUGCACUUGACUGUGUGGAGCGCUACCCAGGACUUUUACUUUGAGGAAAUUAGAGUGUUUCAAGCAGGCAUACGCCUUGAAUACAUUAGCAUGGAAUAAUAAGAUAGGACCUCGGUUCUAUUUUGUUGGUUUCUAGAGCUGAGGUAAUGAUUAAUAGGGAUAGUUGGGGGCAUUCGUAUUUAACUGUCAGAGGUGAAAUUCUUGGAUUUGUUAAAGAUGGACUACUGCGAAAGCAUUUGCCAAGGAUGUUUUCAUUGA
Molecule: ribosomal RNA, 380 nt
Filed under: uncultured eukaryote
Lineage: Eukaryota
Description: partial 18S ribosomal RNA
Rfam family: Eukaryotic small subunit ribosomal RNA
Source: RNAcentral